CCGCCGCUCGCCGCCAGCGCCAAAAGAAAGGGGCCCCCGGAAUUCUCCAGCUACGUACGAGGAGCGCGAGCCCACAGCCGUCUCGGCUCCGAGCCCGCCGCCGGCAGGAAAGCCACAAAGAAAACUGAUAAACCCAGACAAGAUGAUAAAGACGAUCUAGAUGUAACAGAACUCACUAAUGAAGAUCCUUUGGAUCAGCUUGUGAAAUACGGAGUGAAUUGUGGUCCUAUUGUGGGAACAACCAGGAAGCUGUAUGAGAAAUAGCUUUUGAAACUGAGGGAGCAAGGAACAGAAUCAAGAUCGUCUCCUUCAGCAACAAUUUCUUCUUCAGCAGAAAAUACAAGGCAGAAUGGAAGUAAUGAUUCUGACAGAUAUGGUGAAAAUGAAGAAGACUCUAAAUUGGGCUCAAGUUUGAGAAGAGAGAACCGCUAAACAGGGGAGUAAAGACUCCAGUAACCCUCAAGCAAAGAAGAGUUGAGCACAAGGAGAGCUAUUCUCAAGCUGGAAUAACUGGGACUGAAUGGACAAGUGGAUCUUCAAAAGGCGGACCUCUGCAGGCAUUAUUAACUAGGGAAUCUACAAGAGGGUCAAGAAGAACUCCAAGCAAAAGGGUGCACGCUUCAGAAUAUUUUCGUAUAGAUGGAGCAGUAAUUUCAGCGAGUACUCCCAUAGCUGAAACUAUAAUUGCUUCAAACAACGAAUCCUUAAUUGUCAAUAGGGUGACUGGAAAUUUCAAGCAUGCAUUUCCUAUUCUGCCAGUCACUGAAUUCUCAGACAUACCCAGAAGAACACCAAAGAAACCAUUGACAAGAGCUGAAGUGGGAGAAAAAAAACACAGGAAAGAAGAGUAGAAAGGGAUAUUCUUAAGGAAAUGUUCCCCUAUGAAGCAACUACACCAACAAGAAUUAGUGCUAGUUGCCGCAGAACAAUCAAAGGAGCUGCAGGCCGGCCAUUAGAACUCAGUGAUUUGAGGAUGGAGGAGUCGUUUUCAUCUACAUAUGUUCCUAAGUAUGUUCCCUUGGCAGACGUCAAGUGAGAAAAUACAAAAAAAAGGGACGCUCCAUUCCUGUAUGGAUAAAAAUUUUGCUGUUUGUUGUUGUGGCAGUUUUUUUGUGUGUGUUUGGUCUAUCAAGCUAUGGAAACCAACCAUGUAAAUCCCUUCUCUAAUAUUCUUCCUGAUGACUCUAGAAAACCCAACUGA
RNAcentral lists this long non-coding RNA (1201 nucleotides) under Homo sapiens (human). RNAcentral describes it as "non-protein coding lnc-NPIPB15-6:1". The record is from RNAcentral. Lineage: Eukaryota; Metazoa; Chordata; Mammalia; Primates; Hominidae.